CAAUCCUACUUUCUUCCGUAUUAACCAAUUUCCAGCAACAAUACAAAAUAACAACAAUACAGUGACCCACCUACCGACCCCUAUUACUUUUCUUCUUCGCAAAAAUCAGAUACGAAACCCAGAAACUCACGUACUAGCCAAAUUAGCACGACCCAGUCUAGAAUCGAGCCUAGCUCGUGGCAGUCGCGUUCUCCCUCUCUCUCAUUAUCCUCUAGUACAAACAUACUCGAAUUGGGAAGGUGUCUCGAUCCUGUAGCUCGCUCAUCCUUGCUCAUAAUAGGAUUGCCAUGGUUCUCAAUCCGUUGAGAAUUGUUGAAGGGGUGGAAUCGUCUCUGUCAAACUCGUCCGUCCAGUUCGAUGUCAAGAAUCAGGUUAUGGAUGUUUAAAGGAUGUCUUUAAGGUGAAAAGCUCGUAUGUGAUUCCUAAGCUAAAGGAAAGGAAUCCUUAUGUUCCAAGGAUUUCCUAUGUCAAGUUUAUAUUCAAUGUAUUGUAAUAGAUUAAAUAUUAUAUUAUGAUGUUAAAGGGUCGUGUGCCUAAUCUAUUCUACGAUGUUGAGUCUAAGAUGGCCAAAGAGACUUAGAGUCUAAGUAUGUAUUAUGACUUAUAUUCUUGUAUAAUGGAAUUGAUGUUUCUAGCA
Long non-coding RNA from Solanum pennellii, 637 nucleotides. RefSeq lists it as uncharacterized. The transcript is spliced from 3 exons. The record is from RefSeq and is a predicted model, not a curated record. NCBI's taxonomy places the organism in Eukaryota, Viridiplantae, Streptophyta, Magnoliopsida, Solanales, Solanaceae.